UCCCCCCCCCCUCUCUCUCUCGCCCUGCCAUGCCUCAGCCAUGAGAGAGAUGGGCGAAUUGGGGAGCUCUUCUUCGCCGUCGCCCUCGUCCUCGAUCGCGCACUCCUCCGUCUUCCACAGUUACCCGCUGAUCUCGGCCGUCCUGGCCUUCGCCAUCGCCCAAUCAAUCAAGUUCUUCACCACCUGGUACAAGGAAAGACACUGGGAUGCCAAGCAGCUUAUUGGAUCUGGUGGGAUGCCAUCAUCCCAUUCAGCCACAGUCACUGCACUAGCACUAGCUAUUGGAAUUCAAGAUGGGUUGGACAGUUCUGCUUUUGCUACAGCGGCGAUAUUAGCAUUUGUGGUGAUGUGUGAUGCUUUUGGUGUUCGACUGCAUGCUGGAAAGCAGGCAGAGGUGUUAAAUCAAAUUAUGUAUGAACUUCCAGAAGAGCAUCCUCUGUCUGUUACUAGACCACUACAUGAACUUCUUGGCCAUACUCCUAUUCAGGUUUGAUACGAUGCUGUAAUCUUGUAAAGGGUAGUGGUAACUACCAUGAUGCAACCUGGUCAUCGCUGGUGCUGCCCUGGGGUCUGUGGUAGCUAUCGCGGCUCAAUUAAUCAACAGAUUUGCUGGUGGUGCAUGGCAAUCAGAAAUCAUAAACAAAUUGAUCGACGACAACUGACAUCAUCAAGCUGUGCUUUCUGAUCAUUAUAGGAAUGGAGAGAAGCAUCAUUGGCUAAUCAUAUAUGGGUAUUUAACCCACAGUUAGUAUAAUGAUUGAUGUGUGCGUGGUAUUUCCACAAGACAUGGAUAAAAUUCCAUUCUUGCUGUGAUGUAUACAAGUUCGAUCAUUGUGUAUGACCGUUCUACUGUGCAUUGUAUCCGUAUAGACCUGUUUGAUAAAAAAUGUAAUAUUGGUGGACA
Musa acuminata AAA Group (dessert banana) is the source of this 904-nucleotide RNA transcript. RefSeq lists it as uncharacterized. The transcript is spliced from 5 exons. NCBI's taxonomy places the organism in Eukaryota, Viridiplantae, Streptophyta, Magnoliopsida, Zingiberales, Musaceae. The record is from RefSeq and is a predicted model, not a curated record.